RNAcentral lists this ribosomal RNA (468 nucleotides) under uncultured bacterium. RNAcentral's name for it is "partial 16S ribosomal RNA". It matches the Rfam family "Bacterial small subunit ribosomal RNA", at positions 28 to 507 of the family's 1533-position model. The record is from RNAcentral.
GACGAACGCUGGCGGCGUGCUUAACACAUGCAAGUCGAACGGAAAGGCCCUGCGUUUGUGGGGUGCUCGAGUGGCGAACGGGUGAGUAACACGUGAGUAACCUGCCCUUGACUUUGGGAUAACUUCAGGAAACUGGGGCUAAUACCGGAUAGGAGCUCCUGCUGCAUGGUGGGGGUUGGAAAGUUUCGGCGGUUGGGGAUGGAUGGGCGGCUUAUCAGCUUGUUGGUGGGGUAGUGGCUUACCAAGGCUUUGACGGGUAGCCGGCCUGAGAGGGUGACCGGCCACAUUGGGACUGCGAGACGGACCAGACUCCUACGGGAGGCAGCAGUGGGGAAUAUUGCACAAUGGGCGGAAGCCUGAUGCAGCAACGCCGCGUGCGUGAUGACGGCCUUCGGGUUGUAAACCGCUUUAGCCUGUGACGAAGCGUGAGUGACGGUAAUGGGUAAAGAAGCACCGGCUAACUACGUG